RNAcentral lists this ribosomal RNA (774 nucleotides) under uncultured Pseudomonadota bacterium. RNAcentral's name for it is "bacterial SSU rRNA". It matches the Rfam family "Bacterial small subunit ribosomal RNA", at positions 8 to 830 of the family's 1533-position model. The record is from RNAcentral. Lineage: Bacteria; Pseudomonadati; Pseudomonadota.
AGAGUUUGAUCCUGGCUCAGAACGAACGCUGGCGGCAGGCCUAACACAUGCAAGCCAAACGGCCCUUUUGGGCAGUGGCGCACGGGUGCGUAACACGUGGGAAUGUACAUCUUGGUUCGGAAUAACACAGAGAAAUUUGUGCUAAUACCGUAUAAUCCCUUCGGGGCAAAGAUUUAUCGCCAAGGAAUCAGCCCGCGCUAGAUUAGGUAGUUGGUAGGGUAAAAGCCUACCAAGCCGACGAUCUAUAGCUGGUCUUAGAGGAUGAUCAGCCACACUGGUACUGAGACACGGACCAGACUCCUACGGGAGGCAGCAGUGAGGAAUAUUGCGCAAUGGGGGAAACCCUGACGCAGCCAUGCCGCGUGAGUGAAGAAGGCUCUCGGGUUGUAAAGCUCUUUCAGAUGCGAAGAUAAUGACGGUAACAUCAGAAGAAGCUCCGGCUAAAUUCGUGCCAGCAGCCGCGGUAAUACGAAUGGAGCGAGCGUUGUUCGGAAUCACUGGGCGUAAAGCGUAUGUAGGCGGAAUGGCAAGUCAGAAGUGAAAUCCCGGGGCUCAACCCCGGAACUGCUUUUGAAACUGCCUUUCUCGAGUCCCGGAGGGGCCAGUAGAAUUCCUAGUGUAGAGGUGAAAUUCGCAGAUAUUAGGAGGAAUACCAGUGGCGUAGGCGACUGGCUGGACGGGUACUGACGCUGAGAUACGAAAGCGUGGGGAGCAAGCAGGAUUAGAUACCCUGGUAGUCCACGCCGUAAACGAUGUGUGCUAGUUGUCGGGUUU